This 68-nucleotide transfer RNA is filed under the name Palpita nigropunctalis. RNAcentral describes it as "tRNA-Val". Lineage: Eukaryota; Metazoa; Arthropoda; Insecta; Lepidoptera; Crambidae. The record is from RNAcentral.
CAAAUUAGAGCUUGAUAAAGUAUUUCAUUUACAUUGAAAUGAUAUUGGAAUUUAUUCAAUUAAUUUGA